GAUGAACGCUGGCGGCGUGCUUAACACAUGCAAGUCGAACGGGGGUUACUUCGUGGCGAUCUUCGGAUCAAAGCGAUAUAACUCGAGUGGCGGACGGGUGAGUAACACGUGAGAAACCUGCCUCGGAGUGGGGAAUAACUCGAGGAAACUCGAGCUAAUACCGCAUACCUUCAUUUGACCGCAUGGUCAGUUGAAGAAAGAUUUAUCGCUCUGAGAGGGUCUCGCGGCCUAUCAGCUUGUUGGUGGGGUAACGGGCCUACCAAGGCAACGACGGGUAGCUGGAUUGAGAGAUCGACCAGCCACACUGGAACUGAGACACGGUCCAGACUCCUACGGGAGGCAGCAGUGGGGAAUCUUGCGCAAUGGGCGAAAGCCUGACGCAGCAACGCCGCGUGCGGGAUGAAGGCCUUCGUGGUUGUAA
Molecule: ribosomal RNA, 421 nt
Filed under: uncultured bacterium
Lineage: Bacteria
Description: bacterial SSU rRNA
Rfam family: Bacterial small subunit ribosomal RNA
Source: RNAcentral